AAGUCGUAACAAGGUUUCCGUAGGUGAACCUGCGGAAGGAUCAUUACAGGAGGACGCUUCGGCGUCCGUCGAAUCUUAAAUCAGUCUCGUGUCGAGUUUCUAGGAAAGAGAAAAAAUGAUAAGGAGCCGGGGGUGGUCAAGAGGGACUGCACUCGAUGCGGUCUGCGCCCCCGGAGAGACAAAAAUACACCCCUUAAACACCCGUGCACCCAUGGCGCGAGCGCUUUCCUCGCUCGCGCCGCAAAACGUAUAACGACGCUUGUCAUGCAUGUCUUGUCGGGCUCUACGGAGCGUCAAAAAAGUUAAUACAACUUUCAACAACGGAUCUCUUGGCUUUCGCAUCGAUGAAGAACGCCGCGAAAGUGCGAAACGUAAUGUGAAUUGCAGAAUUCAGUGAAUCAUCGAAUCUUUGAACGCAUCUUGCGCUCCUUGGUAUUCCGAGGAGCAUGCCUGUUUGAGUGUCGUGAAGAGAGGAGUCGAACGCCUCGUUACGAGGGGUUCGGAUUUGGACGCUGUCGGACCUCGUCCGGCUCGUCUCGAAAUGCAUUAGCCGUCAACCCGACCUCAUAGACGAACGGUGUGAUAAAGUGAUCGCCAGAGUCUCGCGUGGGUAGGGUCGGCUUCUAGUCGUCUUUGGACAAUUUGUCGUUCUGACCUCAAAUCAGGUAGGACUACCCGCUGAACUUAA
Molecule: ribosomal RNA, 688 nt
Filed under: uncultured fungus
Lineage: Eukaryota; Fungi
Description: eukaryotic LSU rRNA
Rfam family: 5.8S ribosomal RNA (bases 310-464)
Source: RNAcentral